This 458-nucleotide ribosomal RNA is filed under the name uncultured bacterium. Its description in RNAcentral is "bacterial SSU rRNA". It matches the Rfam family "Bacterial small subunit ribosomal RNA", at positions 328 to 803 of the family's 1533-position model. The record is from RNAcentral.
GAAUUCAACUCCUACGGGAGGCAGCAGUGGGGAAUAUUGGACAAUGGGCGCAAGCCUGAUCCAGCCAUGUCGCGUGAGUGAUGAAGGCCCUAGGGUUGUAAAGCUCUUUCGGCGGGGAAGAUAAUGACGGUACCCGCAGAAGAAGCCCGGGCCAACUUCGUGCCAGCAGCCGCGGUAAUACGAAGGGGGCUAGCGUUGCUCGGAAUCACUGGGCGUAAAGCGCACGUAGGCGGAUUUCUAAGUCAGGGGUGAAAUCCCGGAGCUCAACUCCGGAACUGCCUCAGAUACUGGAGAUCUCGAGUCCGGGAGAGGUGAGUGGAACUGCGAGUGUAGAGGUGAAAUUCGUAGAUAUUCGCAAGAACACCAGUGGCGAAGGCGGCUCACUGGCCCGGUACUGACGCUGAGGUGCGAAAGCGUGGGGAGCAAACAGGAUUAGAAACCCUGGUAGUCCAGGCGUU